GACGAACCGUGCAAACGUUGUUCGGAAUCACUGGGCUUAAAGGGCGCGUAGGCGGGCCAGCAAGUCGAAGGUGAAAUCCCACGGCUCAACCGUGGAAGUGCCCCCGAUACUGCUUGUCUUGAGGGAGAUAGGGGCGUGCGGAACUUCCGGUGGAGCGGUGAAAUGCGUAGAUAUCGGAAGGAACACCGGUGGCGAAAGCGGCGCGCUGGAUCUCUUCUGACGCUGAGGCGCGAAAGCCAGGGGAGCAAACGGG
This 253-nucleotide ribosomal RNA is filed under the name uncultured bacterium. Its description in RNAcentral is "partial 16S ribosomal RNA". It matches the Rfam family "Bacterial small subunit ribosomal RNA", at positions 524 to 776 of the family's 1533-position model. The record is from RNAcentral.